This 2000-nucleotide long non-coding RNA is filed under the name Zostera marina. Its description in RNAcentral is "long non-coding RNA (ZMAR_LNC004817)". The record is from RNAcentral. Lineage: Eukaryota; Viridiplantae; Streptophyta; Magnoliopsida; Alismatales; Zosteraceae.
CAUUUUAUUGAUUGAACAAGUUUCACAAUCAUUACAAUUAUUGAAUUUAAAAUUGCACUUAUUAGCUAAUAUUCUUAUUACAAAAUCAUUAGCAUGACAAAAUCUGCCAUGCAAUAGAUCAUCUAUAUUUCUAAUUAUACUACAAGCUACUAAUCAAGUAGCUCCAUUAUCUCCUUCUUGAAGUCCAGGCCUUAGAUGAUACAAGCCUCCAGUACAAGCUACAAAUUCGGAUAGUAAACAAACCGAAUUCGAAUAUCCGGAUAUUAAACGAAUUCGAAUUCGGAUAUGAUGUAAUUCAGUUCGAAUUCGAUUCAUUUACAAGCCUACGAACAUGGUCACUACACCAGCAACUAGGGCUUCGGAUAGCCCAAGGUGAAUGGAGAUACCCGUAUAGGUUGGGAGAGGUUUCAAGUCGACUUUUUCAGAGAUCGACUUUUCAGAAGUCGCCCUGAUUAAAGUCGACCUCUAGAAAAGUCGAAUCCAGAAAGUCCACUUGGAACCAGAUCUGAGCAGUUAGACAGUUACGACCCUAAUGAUCAGAUUGCCCUAUUGAGCAAAGGGUCAGUCCUAUUCAUUUGGGCAGGUUGAAUUUCAGAGAGAUGUUUCAGUGAAGCAGAGUCAAAGAAACUGAAUAGUUCGAACUGAUUUUCCUGAGGAGUUUCCAGCUUGGCGCUUGUUCAAAACAUCGUCGAGCACUGAUUAGAUUCCACCCUCAUCACAAAUAUAAACAUGAUUGGGUAAUAACAUUCAUUUCCAUCUUUAUUUGUUUCAAAUGUAGACUCAACAACAUAAGUUAUCCAUCCAUUCUUUAUAAAACAAAAAUAUCUGAAUAUUUGAUAUUCUUCCAAAUUUAAACAGAUUAAAUUUAAAUAUAUUCUGUUAUUUUCUGUUUGUAUCAUUCAAAUUUAGACGUCGAUAAAAGCAUGUGAUCCGCUCCCCAUAUGGCGGCCAUAUAUAAAAACCAAAAUUUCACAUGUUUCCAGUCAAUGUUGACGUUAAUAUUUAUGAUAUUGAAAUCUGUUUAUGAAGUUUGAUAUCAUUUUCUAUUUUUAUCCUAAACUUAUUUUUUUUACAAAUAGAUUAAUCAAAUUAAAUUUAUAUAUAGUAGUUAUUUAUAAAUGCAUCCAUGAGAUAUUGUCUGAGAUAUCAUUUAUUUUAUCGUUAAUUUUUCAUCGUUAUUUCUACGGAUCUAUUUUAUGUAUUGGUUUAGCGUAGGAGUCGCCUCGGUCCCGCCCCAUUCCGUUCCGCGCUCCGGUGGUAACCGGGGGCGGGCCAGAAUAUCUGCCCUGGUUUUCGUUUUUUCCCUCGUUGCCCCGAUCAUAUUCAGUGGCGGGUCUCGGGGCAGUGCGAAACCCGGGAGGGUCGCCCCGGUUUGAAAAAAUUAAUUUUUAUUAUUUUAAAUUAUAUUAUAUUAGAUAUAGGUUUAUUAAAAUUAAAAAUUUUAAGAAUUAAAUUUUAAAUUUACCCACCCGCCCGUGACCCACCUCAUUUUCACCUUUGUUUUAGCCACACAAAAAAUAGCUAAUAAAUAAAUAUCUAUCUUUUCUAUUUCUCAUAUCUUACAAUAUAUAUAUUAUCUCUCGGCCCGACUUUAAAUUAUUGCUUACAAUGUCUUCAUCGUCAUCUACCGAAUCUUCAAAUGUAACCAGGUUUUCUUCAACAGAUGAGGAAAAAGUGAGAUUCGAGGACUCUUCAACGUUUAUAAAGUCGUCAUCUACCGAAUCUUGAAUUGCAACCAGGUUUUCUUCAACAGAUGAGGAAGAAGGGAAAUUCGAGGAAUCUUCAACGUUUAUAACGUCGUCAUCUACCGAAUCUUCAAUUGCAACCAGGUUUUCUUCAACAGAUGAGGAAAGAGUGAGUUCCGAGUACUCUUCAACAUUUACAACGUCGUCAUCUAUGGAAUCAUCAAUGGAAACCAGAUUUUCUUCGUCGUCGAAAAGAAAAGAUGGGUUGGAAAAUCCUUUAAGGAAGGACAAACCAGUAUUAUCUUUGGACUCAAC